GUCCACACCGUAAACGUUGGGCGCUAGGUGUGGGGCUCAUUCCACGAGUUCCGUGCCGCAGCUAACGCAUUAAGCGCCCCGCCUGGGGAGUACGGCCGCAAGGCUAAAACUCAAAGGAAUUGACGGGGGCCCCGCACAAGCGGCGGAGCAUGCGGAUUAAUUCGAUGCAACGCGAAGAACCUUACCUGGGUUUGACAUAUGCCGGAAACACUCAGAGAUGGGUGCCCUUUUAGUCGGUAUACAGGUGGUGCAUGGCUGUCGU
RNAcentral lists this ribosomal RNA (262 nucleotides) under uncultured bacterium. RNAcentral describes it as "partial 16S ribosomal RNA". It matches the Rfam family "Bacterial small subunit ribosomal RNA", at positions 793 to 1055 of the family's 1533-position model. The record is from RNAcentral.